Molecule: ribosomal RNA, 498 nt
Filed under: uncultured bacterium
Lineage: Bacteria
Description: partial 16S ribosomal RNA
Rfam family: Bacterial small subunit ribosomal RNA
Source: RNAcentral
AUUGAACGCUAGCGGCAUGCCUUACACAUGCAAGUCAAACGGUAACAGGUCUUCGGAUGCUGACGAGUGGCGAACGGGUGAGUAAUACAUCGGAACGUGCCUAGUAGUGGGGGAUAACUACUCGAAAGAGUGGCUAAUACCGCAUGAGAUCUACGGAUGAAAGCAGGGGAUCGCAAGACCUUGUGCUACUAGAGCGGCCGAUGGCAGAUUAGGUAGUUGGUGGGAUAAAAGCUUACCAAGCCGACGAUCUGUAGCUGGUCUGAGAGGACGAUCAGCCAACCUGGGACUGAGACACGGCCCAGACUCCUGCGGGAGGCAGCAGUGGGGAAUUUUGGACAAUGGGCGCAAGCCUGAUCCAGCAAUGCCGCGUGCAGGAUGAAGGCCUUCGGGUUGUAAACUGCUUUUGUACGGAACGAAAAGCCCUGGGUUAAUACCCUGGGGUCAUGACGGUACCGUAAGAAUAAGCACCGGCUAACUACGUGCCAGCCGCCGCAGUAA